GCGUCACUAUCAUUAUCCUCAC
Molecule: microRNA, 22 nt
Filed under: Ananas comosus (pineapple)
Lineage: Eukaryota; Viridiplantae; Streptophyta; Magnoliopsida; Poales; Bromeliaceae
Description: microRNA s0436_c56a
Source: RNAcentral